This 356-nucleotide long non-coding RNA is filed under the name Elaeis guineensis (African oil palm). Its description in RNAcentral is "long non-coding RNA (EGUI_LNC046036)". The record is from RNAcentral. Lineage: Eukaryota; Viridiplantae; Streptophyta; Magnoliopsida; Arecales; Arecaceae.
UGCAUCAUUGUGAUUGAUUGAUUUAAGAUGUGUUUGAGACCAUUAAAGUCAUCAUAAAAAUCAUAUUAAGUCAUAGUAUUGUGAACUAGUAGCUGACCUAUUUUUUUAAAUCGAUUAACUAAUUGGUGUCUAAGGAGUGUUUCAAAUACGGUGGUUAUUUAAUUGGUUCCGUUGUUGGCCUGACCAAUUUUAUUGGUAUCUAAGAAAAGCAACGGGGGGACCUCCACCAAUCUUAACACUUUUCUAUCUAAUUAAAUUAGUUUGAAUCUUAAAUGAUGGUAGCUCAGUAUUUUAAAUACUACAUAUACCUUCUUUCAUGCCUAGUCAAUAUCCUAUCAAAAAUCAUAGUAGGUUUG